GGAGGGAUUCCCGAGUGGCCAAAGGGGGCAGACUGUAAAUCUGUUGGCACCGCCUUCGAAGGUUCGAAUCCUUCUCCCUCCA
Molecule: transfer RNA, 82 nt
Filed under: Firmicutes bacterium HGW-Firmicutes-1
Lineage: Bacteria; Bacillati; Bacillota
Also listed under: 1 other name
Description: tRNA-Tyr
Rfam family: tRNA
About the family: Transfer RNA (tRNA) molecules are approximately 80 nucleotides in length.
Source: RNAcentral